Molecule: small RNA, 133 nt
Filed under: Klebsiella pneumoniae
Lineage: Bacteria; Pseudomonadati; Pseudomonadota; Gammaproteobacteria; Enterobacterales; Enterobacteriaceae
Description: RtT sRNA
Rfam family: RtT RNA
About the family: This family represents a bacterial cis-regulatory element known as RtT RNA. The exact function of RtT is unknown although it is thought that it may be involved in changing the cellular response in relation to amino acid starvation.
Source: RNAcentral
UAUUCUGCCCCAUGGGGAAGGAUGAGAAGCUUCGACUAAGGUUCGACUCGAGCGCCAGCGAGAGACCGUUGCCUCAGGCAACGGCCCGAAGGGCGAGGCGCUUGAGCGCCGAGUAAUCCUUCCCCCACCACCA